GUGAGCUCUGAGGAACUGCUAUUUGGGUCUGCGUUGAGUAGGUGUUAUCAGCAAGAAUAACCGCUUUGCAUUCUUGGAAACAAUUCAGCCUGGAAGUGCAGCAGAAUUUAUCAGCCUGCGUGGAUCUGGUGGAAGCAGUCUGCUUUUAAGGAAGCUGUUGGUAAAGAAAGCAAAGAAACGAGGCCGGUUCGCGAGGCAGGUUGCUGCUCAGAAGGGACACUUGAGAACAGCUACUCCCAAGAAAACCCCUUGA
This 253-nucleotide long non-coding RNA is filed under the name Anser brachyrhynchus (Pink-footed goose). RNAcentral's name for it is "lncRNA (ENSABRG00000013318.1)". Lineage: Eukaryota; Metazoa; Chordata; Aves; Anseriformes; Anatidae. The record is from RNAcentral.